Long non-coding RNA from Triplophysa rosa, 1344 nucleotides. RefSeq lists it as uncharacterized. The record is from RefSeq and is a predicted model, not a curated record. Lineage: Eukaryota; Metazoa; Chordata; Actinopteri; Cypriniformes; Nemacheilidae. The transcript is spliced from 3 exons.
UGAUAUCAAAAACAGAAUAACUACUAGUACCUAUUCAUUUGAAGAUAUCUUCCGCCUUAAAAGGAACUAGUAAGAAUGGGUUUGGAGAUAUCUUGAUUCAAACACAUUAUUGCAUAAACAUGAGUACCACCCUCAGUCAUCCAAUCAGAGUUAACAUACUAGUGCAACGUAUCCUUGGGUAUUGAAGCAGCACUUCCGCCAUGCUUGUCGCCAUAUUUGUGUCCGACAUGGCAGUUAACAACACAUCUAAACGAGACUAAAAUAACUCGAUAUUUGGGAAAAACAUAUUAUUAGUUGUGUGCCUUAUUUAUUAGGCUACCUCCAAUUGUGUUUUGUCCCUUACAAUCUGCGACGCGUCUGCUAAACUUUUCCGGACAUUAAUAUCUUGUACAUAAUCUAUUGCUAUCGUCAUACAGCGGAGCGAGAAAGCAUGCAUCUAAAUACGUCAUUGCAGGGUGUGUGAACCACACCAAUAUGUGGUAUCUGGAGACAAAACAUAUAUUUGUGAAAACAGGACAGCUCCAAAGUGAAGGCCAAGAAGCAGAGCCCAAAAAAAAGUGCAAUCCUGUCAGUCAUCGAAGGCCAUUUCAUCAGAUACAUGCCCAAGACUGUACUACUGGAUCUGCCAACACCUCUGACUACUCUUUAUGCAAGCCCCAGGCUUGAAAUGGAUUUGCCCGCACUGCUGGAGGAGGGUGCCGAGACCUUUGAGAAGCUGCAUCUCACACCACAGCAGAUGGGGUCUAAAAAAUGAGGACACUGCCAGAGAAUCGUACCUGAGGGCGAUGCAGGACCUCCAAGCAGACCUCCACGUUGCAGCAUCUGGAUUUAUAAGUAACCCAGAGGUGCCAUGGAUCGGUGGAUCACCAGAUGGUGUGGUGAUGGUGUUAUAGAUUAAAUGUCCUUUCAGUGCAAAAGACCGCACCGGAGAUCCUUAUAUGGUGUCUUUCGUCUAUGCGUCAUUUCAUCACAUUCGUACACAGAACAAAGAGGAUCCGGCUGCUAGCCCGCAUGUGGAUGCGAGUGACAGGCAGUUUAUAGCGUGUACUCACAACUGCUGGGUAGGAUUUCAUACAACGUUUAGUAUUAUUUAUGGCGGCGUUUAGUACUUUUACUUUUAAACGCCAAGCAGUGUUGACAUCUGGGGAUUCAUCAUUUGUGAAAAACAAGAAAGAACGAACUGAUGACAGUUUACAAAGAAACAGGGAAUGUGAUCGGAAGCUGGAAGCUGAUGAUUCAUUGCUCACUGUAGCCUUUUGACCGUUGUUGAGUUGCUUGAUACUAGUUACAAAGAUGCUACUACAUUUUCCUUCCCUCUUUACUUUAGGUGCCUGAGGAGUCCUA